CCUACGGGAGGCAGCAGUGAGGAAUAUUGGUCAAUGGGCGAGAGCCUGAACCAGCCAAGUCGCGUGAGGGAGUACUGCCCUAUGGGUUGUAAACCUCUUUUGUCGGGGAGCAAAAGCCGGACGUGUCCGGCUGUGAGAGUACCCGAAGAAAAAGCAUCGGCUAACUCCGUGCCAGCAGCCGCGGUAAUACGGAGGAUGCGAGCGUUAUCCGGAUUUAUUGGGGUGAAAGGGUGCGCAGGCGGAUUUUUAAGUCAGCGGUCAAAUCGUGGGGCUCAACCCCAUCCAGCCGUUGAAACUGGGGAUCUAGAGUGUGCGAGAGGUAUGCGGAAUGCGUGGUGUAGCGGUGAAAUGCAUAGAUAUCACGCAGAACCCCGAUUGCGAAGGCAGCAUACCGGUGCACAACUGACGCUCAGGCACGAAAGCGUGGGUAUCGAACAGGAUUAGAUACCCCUGUAGUC
This 458-nucleotide ribosomal RNA is filed under the name uncultured bacterium. RNAcentral's name for it is "partial 16S ribosomal RNA". It matches the Rfam family "Bacterial small subunit ribosomal RNA", at positions 338 to 795 of the family's 1533-position model. The record is from RNAcentral.